AACACUGUUAACCUGCGGUACCUGCGGAAGGAUCAUUAUCGAGUUUUGACUGGGUUGUAGCUGGCCUUCCGAGGCAUGUGCACGCCCUGCUCAUCCACUCUACACCUGUGCACUUACUGUGGGUUUUACGGGUCGUGAAAUGGGCUCGUUCAUUCGGGCUUGUUGAGCGCACUUGUUGCCUGCGUUUAUCACAAACUCCAUAAAGUAUUAGAAUGUGUAUUGCGAUGUAACGCAUCUAUA
This 240-nucleotide unclassified non-coding RNA is filed under the name soil metagenome. RNAcentral's name for it is "partial contains 5.8S ribosomal RNA, internal transcribed spacer 2, and large subunit ribosomal RNA". The record is from RNAcentral.